Molecule: long non-coding RNA, 998 nt
Filed under: Salmo salar (Atlantic salmon)
Lineage: Eukaryota; Metazoa; Chordata; Actinopteri; Salmoniformes; Salmonidae
Description: lncRNA (ENSSSAG00000104630.1)
Source: RNAcentral
CUGCCUUCCUCCCUCUCUAUCGCUCUCUCUCUCUCUCUGUUUCUAUGUCUCUCUCUCUUGCUAUGUAUCUGUCUGUCCUGUGACCGAGGGCAUUCUCUCAGGCACAAUGACAGGGAAACAGAAAAUUGCUGUGAUUUCAACAAGGGGAGCACUCAUUCCAAGCAAUGGCUAGCACCACUUUGCAGACAUGUCAAUCCCCAUGGUCUCCACGUAGAGCACCAGCUGCAGAUAUGUAUUCUACGGAGAGAGAGCAUGUCCAAAAUACCUCUGUUAAGCAGGAGUCAAGAACUGUCAACUGGGCGGUGUCUUUGUGAUGCUACGCAAGCUCACCGCUAAAACAUUGUAAGAACUCUAACAUUGUAUCUAUCUUUCUUUUUCGCUAUGUAUCUCCCUCUCAGUUAUUUCCCGUCUUUCCUAUGGCUUUCUUCUCCAGUGUUUGCUGUUAUUCUAUGCAUGUAUGCCCCACGGGACUAAAUUAACGAGGGAAAAGUCAUCUCUCUCUCUUCCCCUCCUCUCUUUCUCUGUCUUCUUCACACAUUGUUGGUUCUCCAUCUACUGUUAAAAUGAUAUGCAUACCUUUGAGCAUGUGUGUUUCAUAUGGAAGGGCACACUGUCAACAGAACUGCAGCACGAACACAGCUGUUUUUCCUCCACCACUGAAGAGAAGCUGUAAACAAUGCCAAUGAUGAUCUCUGGAAUUCUAACAGAAAAUAUUUGGUCCCUCUCCUCUCGGUGUUGUGCAACAUCCAUCGCUCUGGGCCGGCCUGCGUAGGGAGACAAGAGGGGCAUGGCGCAGUGCGGGGCCCUGACAGUUCUCCCGGUUCUGACCCUUUGCCUGCCCUGACACUGUACCCGCCUGCCUGACCAUUCAGCCUGCCCUGAUCUGCCUGCCUGCCGCCCUGUACCUUCUGGAAUCUGACCUGGUUUAUGACCUUCUGCCUGUCCUCGACUUGCCUCUUGCCUGCCCCUUGUUUUUCAAUAAAUAUCAGAAACUCAAA